This 81-nucleotide small RNA is filed under the name Arabidopsis thaliana (thale cress). Its description in RNAcentral is "ATSL140860". Lineage: Eukaryota; Viridiplantae; Streptophyta; Magnoliopsida; Brassicales; Brassicaceae. The record is from RNAcentral.
UAUUUUGACACAUAUCAACAUCUGAACGAUAGACUUGACACGUCUCAUGAUUAUGUGAGAUACUAAUUUUGAAAACUAUAU